This is a long non-coding RNA of Pygocentrus nattereri (red-bellied piranha), 3205 nucleotides long. RefSeq lists it as uncharacterized. Lineage: Eukaryota; Metazoa; Chordata; Actinopteri; Characiformes; Serrasalmidae. The transcript has 2 exons. The record is from RefSeq and is a predicted model, not a curated record.
UCUUUAGGGAUACGUACUUGAUCUAACUUGUUCAUCUCAGAUCCUGGCCUCCAUUGAGCUUUUGGCACGCUCCCUACCCAAGAUCCACCGCAGCGCCUCUGAACCGUCCCUCAAUCGCGCUGGCUUCCAGACGGAAGACUUCAGUCUGUACGCCUGCGCCUCUCCAAAAACACCCAUUCAGGCUGGAGGCUAUGGAGAAUUCUCAGCAUUUAAGUAGUGCCACCAGCUGAAAAGUCCAUCCCUCGUCACUUUUUAAGAUGUCUUGUGUUCCUGCAGUGGGUUCAUCCAUAAAACAGAAAAAAACACCUAGUUUCAAAGAAUGUGCUGUUUUUCUUCCUCUUUACCUGAAGAGCAACGGUGUUGAUGGAAUCGCUAAAAAAUAAUAAAAACAAACAAAAAAAAUUCAAGGUGGGGGGGGACUCAGCUGGGAUCCAUCGCUGAUUUUAAGGAAAAAAUAUCAUAACCUGAAAACAAGAAAACUUGAAAUGAUGCGCAUAAAAUAAAAUUGACACUGAAGUUGCGAAACCUUCGAGGUGGCCACCGGAUGAAAGAGGAGACAAAUGCAGGACGUGAGGAUGAAGCGUCAGAAGUCUCGCCUUGAGGAGGAAAAAAGGACGACUGACUUUUGGAGACGUGAAAACAGAAAGGGCCGAUGAACGGUGCUUAAGAUUGUCUAGCCUUUCUGUGUUUCUGCUGGUGUCAGCAUGCAGUGCUGACCAAAUGGAGCACAGGAUUUACACAUUGACCAACGGCAUGAUUCUGUAGUAGAGAAUAGAGCGAGCGAUACCGUGUCCUUAUUUGCAGUUUCUCUUUGGAUAUCAUAAGGGAAUGAGGUUGGAUCUCAACCGAUCUCUGAGAGGACGUCAGGAGAUGACUUGAAUGAUGUUACGAGACGUUUCUUUUUCUUUGUACUGAGUUUGUUUUGAUGUUGCCUAAGGCCAGAGCUGCUGAUAAUGUUUUUGUCCUCUUUGUUUUUAUUCGUUUUGUUUUUGAUUUUUCGUUUGCUUUGUCCCACAGCUUUGCUUUUUCAGUAACAUGAUGUCAGAUCAAGUACAUUCCUUUGUGGAGACGGGUAAAGCAUCAGUAGAUUUUUUUUUUUUUUUUUUUUUUUUUUUUUUUUUUUUUUUUUUUUUUGGACUUUGCUUUUUGGGCUUCGUUUACAGAGGAACGGUAGUGGAAUGUUUGUUUGGGAGAUAUCCAAUAUUGCCCAAACAAAUAUGCUCCAUUCUACUGGAUGGUGACUGUGAUAUUCAUUAUAACUACAUGCCACCCCAAGGAAUCUUUUGUUGUAUUUAUAAAUGUGGUGUGAGCCAUAUGAAAAAGCUCAUGAGCUUUGUUACGGACUCACAAAGACAAGUAAGAUCCAUUAAUAAAAUUAGCCAUUUUAUUGUAGCGACCUGAGGGGGUUUACUGCAAGGCUGAAAGUGAUGUAGGAUCAAGUUCAUGCUUUGUCAUAUUGAGUACAGCUUCAUAAGGAUGGAGAGCUCAUCAUAGAUCAGCUGUUCUGGAACCUACCAGAGAUGCCCGUGUGCCCAAAUGUUCAAUUCUACAUCCAUCAUUUACUUUAUAUUAGCAGAGCAUCUUUUAGCAGAUUAAUGCUACUGCCAGACUUGCUGUGAAGUGGCCGAGAGAAACUAAUGCUAUGUCCUUUGUUCUGAGCUUUGACUUCAGACAGAAUUGAGACAUCCUUAAGGACCAUACCACCCCCCCCCCUUUGGGCAUCCAUUCCAGUGUAUCUGUUGAGUUUAUGUUUUUGUGUCUUUUCAUGGACAGGCAGGCCUGCAGAAUAGAUUUAUUUAUGUAGCUUUAAUUUUAUUCCAUUUUCUCCCUCGCCUCUAGGAGAGAUUCUUUUUUUCGUUCAUUUGUUUUUGUUUUUUUAAAGCUACUUGUUUUCUGUGAUUGCUUAAAUGGAUGUUAAGCUGUGUCCUUUGCACUUUUGUAAAACAUUGAUGCAAAACAAGCAAUUUGCCUUUCAAUGGACAAAAACAUUUUUGUCAACGUUUCUAAGCAUGACUAAAUAUUCUCUGUAUCACAAUGGGAUUAAAAUGCCAUUACACAUUAGGAGAUAGAGCCAGAACUUUAGGGGGGGAAAGGAAACAGACCACACCAUUUUUAAAAAUGAAUGCGAUUUCUGACACUGUGUUGACGCUUGUUGGAUAUUUCAGAUGACACAUUUUAACAGAAUGCAGGUUGCAGAUCUGUCUGCUUGUUACCAGUUUGCUCUCUAUUAUGUACAACACUGCACACUUCUCUGUAUCUUACAUCUUUCAGAUGCCCAAAUUGCUCAUUAGACUGAUCGAUUAGAGGCUUCUCAAAGAAUCUGUCACUUACGCUCCAUUACAUAGACGAGAACUUCUACCCAGUUCCUUUUUUUUUUUUUUUUUUGAAGGAUGGAAUUGUUUUCAUUUUUUUUCUCUCAGUAUCAGUGAUGACACUCUGUGAAUUCAUUAUUAACCAUAAAGUGUACACAAGGAAGUGCACGAGUCUUUCGAAGGAGCCCUGUUGGAUGUGACAGCGUUCAGUCUCCUCAAGCUUUGGAGAUAUUUAAAUGGACCAGUUCUUGCUCUCAUGCUGUGGACUCUUCCAACCCUCCUUUUAGUUGGCAGACCUUAAAGCCGGACGCAAGGAAAUAACGGAGGUGAGAUUUUAAGAGUGCUGUAUUUAUUUUCAAGAUUUUCUUAUUUUAUAUGAGAAUGUUACUAAAGAAGUUUAUCUUUCGAAGGAUUGCUCACUUGACUGUGGAACACUUGGGGACAGUUCCUUUUUUCCCCUUUUUUGGGGUCUUCUAAAAGCCCUUUUCCUCUUCGCUUCUUUUCAGAUAUUUUAGUUUUGUGUCCCCUUCGUGUCCUUUCUCUUCCCCGCCCACCCUUUCCAGCCACUUUUGUUCCUUUGCAUUGCCUGCACCUUAACCCCCUAGUAUAAGUUAAUUCAACUGAGAACUAUCAUAAAAGCUUUUGGGAGACUCUUUUCACCUGUAAAUAGCUGUACAAAGGAAAUACUGUCCGUUUGCUAGGAGGCAUGGAGUUAAAAAAUGUUUCCAAUGAAGAAAUAAAGGUUAAGAAAAGACAUUUUGAUAGAUGAAAUUCUGAAAAAAAAUUCUGUGUAAAAAUAUUUAAGAUUGUAUAAUAUAAAAGAAGAAAGAGCUUAAUGUAUUUGUUGUGAAUAUGAAAAACUGAUAUAUUAAAGAAGUGCAUGAAAACUGUCA